AAUAUCAUGUGUUUGAGUACCAGAUUGAUUGAUCCUUCACAAUCAUUUGUAAGGAACUUAUUUUGUUGCUGCAAAAUUCAACAUAAACAAUUGGUUGCCAUUACAGAUGUUUUGUUGCAGCCAGAAAUGUGCAACAAGCUAGACAUGAGAGUUAAAAGGAUACGAGCUAGAAAUGUGCUACAAUUGGUUGCCAUUACAUAUGUUUUUGUUGCAGCAAGAAACGUGCUACAAGCUAGACAUGAUAGAGUUAAAAGGCCAGGAAGAACUCCGAUUCUAAAUAAUCCUAAAGCCCUUGAGACUUCGAAGAUAGUUUGCUAA
Molecule: non-coding RNA, 318 nt
Organism: Vicia faba (fava bean)
Lineage: Eukaryota; Viridiplantae; Streptophyta; Magnoliopsida; Fabales; Fabaceae
Source: the annotation of a GenBank genome assembly